CUGUGAAAUUGAAGAACUAAGCAUACUUCAUAUGAAAGCCAAAAUGAAAAUCUUAACAUAUUUAUGGGUAUUGAAGCCUAGCUAAUUUUACUU
This 93-nucleotide small nucleolar RNA is filed under the name Tursiops truncatus (common bottlenose dolphin). Its description in RNAcentral is "Small nucleolar RNA snR60/Z15/Z230/Z193/J17 (ENSTTRG00000025239.1)". Lineage: Eukaryota; Metazoa; Chordata; Mammalia; Artiodactyla; Delphinidae. The record is from RNAcentral.